CCUCUCAUGGCGUAGGGGUAACGCGCCAUAGCUAGAGAUCUUGGAGUCGUGAGUUCGAUUCUCACUGAGAAGA
Aedes aegypti (yellow fever mosquito) is the source of this 73-nucleotide non-coding RNA. The record is from Rfam. NCBI's taxonomy places the organism in Eukaryota, Metazoa, Arthropoda, Insecta, Diptera, Culicidae.